Molecule: long non-coding RNA, 2428 nt
Organism: Triticum dicoccoides
Lineage: Eukaryota; Viridiplantae; Streptophyta; Magnoliopsida; Poales; Poaceae
Exons: 10
Source: RefSeq, a predicted model, not a curated record
CACUCCCUCGCCACACUGUCGCACCAUCUCCCUCCUCCCUCCUCCCUCAUCACCAGCCAUCGCAACAGGGGAUUUGCGGCCCCUCCAUCAUCACCAGCCGCAGCACCAGGAGAUUUGCCACUGCCAAGAUCCAGCACCUUGCAAGGUCCUCGGGUCAGCCUUGUCGCGCAUGCCACUCUGUCGACCAGAUCUACGCCCUUGACUCCCUCUUCUCUCGCGUCACGCGGUGCCCGCUGCUCCACCAUGCCGCGGUUAACUCGUGGAUGACGGGGCCAUGGACCGGUCCUUAAGGAGAGAAGGAAGAUGAGGGAGAGAGAAGGAAGGAGAGGUGGGAGAAGGAGAGAGGAAAGAUGAGAGUUUGCCACAAAAAUCUUGCUGACUGUACAGAUCUGAGGAUGAAGAAAACAAGAAGAAUUUAGCUGAAGGGGUGAAGAAAAUCAAGGUUUAUUGCUUCUCAUGGGAUGUGAUUAUGGUCAUGCUACUUGUUAUGAAGGCUGAGGUGAGCAUCAUGAACAUGAGCAGGCGAGUGGAUGAUACAAAGAGCUCCUCGAAUGGGGAAGUAGCAUUGUUGGAGGAACUCGAAGAUGAGAAGAUCCUUUGUGCUCCCUAUCACAUCUGGCUUGGCCACCUACGGAUUCUUGGGUCCAGGUUCCUGAUCUGAAGCGGAGGAACACGAGGUCGCAUCUAUUAAGUGGCAAAAGGGGUUUGCAACGAUUUUCUUCAGUCUGACAAUCAUAUAGUAAUUAGACGGUGUAGUACUAUGGCGGUGGUAUACUGAUUUGGUGUAAGAAUCACUAACAUGAGUUUGCGUGUACAAAUCUUACAGACUUGCUGUUUUUUGUUUAGUUGAAGGGCCCUCCAGGCUUAAGAUCUUUCGAGGAUAAUUGCGUCAUUGAAUCUGAAGGUUAUGCAAUCUCCUAUGUUACUGCAUGUUGAUCUUCUAUUUUGUUGUAACUCUGUUUUGCUGCUCGAGUUCUUCUGCCAUUCAACAGUCAAUACCAAGCCAUUUUUAUGGAGCCGAUAGUGUUCUGGUGGUCAGUGGUAAAUGAAAAUCUCUUUCAUUAUCAUUGCUUGCUAUGUAGCCAUUUUUCUUCUUUUUGCUUUGCAUUGAUGUGUUUGUUUCUAUGGAGUCUCUACUACCUUACAAUAUCAAGAUGAAAACUAAGCAUCGGAGUUUCUCGGAGCAGCCCUACACGUGGUUGUUGUGCCUUUUUCCAUUGUGCUUUCGAAAUGCAACAUGACAAUAGUCAAUGUCAUAUAUCAGGGUUGUAAACCUAUUAGAAUUGGGACAGAGGAAAGUGUGAAGAUCUUCUGAUUAUUUCAAAGUAAAAGUUGAUAUUAGUGCCAACUUAGGUGAUCUGGUACAAAGGGAUAUCUCAGCUUUAUGAGUUGAUAGUAUAUUUGCAUCUAAGAAUAAACCUUAGCUUUUGGACAGAAUUUAUGAGUGAAAGUAUUCUGCUGUAUACAAGCCUUUUGUGCAGGAUUGUCAUGGUUGUUGUGGUUGUCAAUUUUGUUGACAAAAUAGUUCCAAUGGAUAUCUUUUUCGGUGUCGUAUGGUAGAUAUAUUUGGUCUGCUCUUUCAUGUGCUGUUCGGCUUUAUGAUUAAUAUUCCCAGAAAUUUGAACAAAAUUGAGCUAUUAAAUAUAUGUCCCAGGAAAUUUAGAUUAUUACAGUGGGGGCACUCCUUUGUACGGUUUUCAGUACAAGAGAUUUAACCUUUUUUGCAGUAUCAUUCUCCCUGGCAGAUUACAUGUAGGUUGUUUUAAUUACAAGCAUGCCUUCAGCUCAUGGUUCUUAUAUUUUUGAUUUUCCAUAGGAUAAUUUCCUGGAUUAAUAUCUAUACUGGAGAUCCAGGAGUCCACCAGAAUUCAGUCUCCAAGAAGCCUUUCAUCCAGGAUGCACCAAAAUUCAAAUGUUAUGUGAAAAGCGUGUGUGCUAGAUGUGGCCACUGUCUAGCGUUUUGAUCUGUCCACUUAGGUGCUUUUGUCUAGGUGGUAACACAACAAGUUGCUUAUCUUGUAGAUACUUAUCUUAUGUACAAUCCUAUGUUCAUUUUGUAAGCAUGUUAGAGCAGGAGCUUCUGCCCCUAUGUGAGUUAUCCUAUGGGAAUUACCAACUUUGCCUGUACUUUCGAGUGGGCUGAAUCCAAUGCAAGUUUUUGGAGCAGUUGGGUUCCAGAACAAACGACUAGGUAUUCCCAAAGAGGUCAAUCCACUGGUGGCUAGCAUAAUAUCUUCAUGUUGGGACAACGAUCAAAGCAAACAACCAUCAUUCUACCAGCUCUUGUCAUCGCUGAAGAAAUUACAGUGGUUACCUGUUACAGAAAGCCUAUGACAAUUUGCGAGUGUUGUUUGUGCAGUAUACUGGUUUUAUGGCAGGUGCAUGUUUGAAUUCAGAUGGCAGUGGUUUCCUUGUUUACAGUUAUAAA